GAUGAACGCUGGCGGCGUGCCUAAUACAUGCAAGUCGAGCGAACAGACGAGGAGCUUGCUCCUCUGACGUUAGCGGCGGACGGGUGAGUAACACAUGGAUAACCUACCUAUAAGACUGGGAUAACUUCGGGAAACCGGAGCUAAUACCGGAUAAUAUAUUGAACCGCAUGGUUCAAUAGUGAAAGACGGUUUUGCUGUCACUUAUAGCUGGAUCCGCGCCGCAUUAGCUAGUUGGUAAGGUAACGGCUUACCAAGGCAACGAUGCGUAGCCGACCUGAGAGGGUGAUCGGCCACACUGGAACUGAGACACGGUCCAGACUCCUACGGGAGGCAGCAGUAGGGAAUCGUCCGCAAUGGGCGAAAGCCUGACGGAGCAACGCCGCGUGAGUGAUGAAGGUCUUCGGAUCGUAAAACUCUGUUAUUAGGGAAGAACAAAUGUGUAAGUAACUAUGCACGUCUUGACGGUACCUAAUCAGAAAGCCACGGCUAACUACGUG
RNAcentral lists this ribosomal RNA (497 nucleotides) under uncultured bacterium. RNAcentral's name for it is "partial 16S ribosomal RNA". It matches the Rfam family "Bacterial small subunit ribosomal RNA", at positions 28 to 507 of the family's 1533-position model. The record is from RNAcentral.